GACGAACGCUGGCGGCGUGCCUAAUACAUGCAAGUCGAACGAACUCUGGUAUUGAUUGGUGCUUGCAUCAUGAUUUACAUUUGAGUGAGUGGCGAACUGGUGAGUAACACGUGGGAAACCUGCCCAGAAGCGGGGGAUAACACCUGGAAACAGAUGCUAAUACCGCAUAACAACUUGGACCGCAUGGUCCGAGUUUGAAAGAUGGCUUCGGCUAUCACUUUUGGAUGGUCCCGCGGCGUAUUAGCUAGAUGGUGAGGUAACGGCUCACCAUGGCAAUGAUACGUAGCCGACCUGAGAGGGUAAUCGGCCACAUUGGGACUGAGACACGGCCCAAACUCCUACGGGAGGCAGCAGUAGGGAAUCUUCCACAAUGGACGAAAGUCUGAUGGAGCAACGCCGCGUGAGUGAAGAAGGGUUUCGGCUCGUAAAACUCUGUUGUUAAAGAAGAACAUAUCUGAGAGUAACUGUUCAGGUAUUGACGGUAUUUAACCAGAAAGCCACGGCUAACUACGUGCCAGCAGCCGCGGUAAUACGUAGGUGGCAAGCGUUGUCCGGAUUUAUUGGGCGUAAAGCGAGCGCAGGCGGUUUUUUAAGUCUGAUGUGAAAGCCUUCGGCUCAACCGAAGAAGUGCAUCGGAAACUGGGAAACUUGAGUGCAGAAGAGGACAGUGGAACUCCAUGUGUAGCGGUGAAAUGCGUAGAUAUAUGGAAGAACACCAGUGGCGAAGGCGGCUGUCUGGUCUGUAACUGACGCUGAGGCUCGAAAGUAUGGGUAGCAAACAGGAUUAGAUACCCUGGUAGUCCAUACCGUAAACGAUGAAUGCUAAGUGUUGGAGGGUUUCCGCCCUUCAGUGCUGCAGCUAACGCAUUAAGCAUUCCGCCUGGGGAGUACGGCCGCAAGGCUGAAACUCAAAGGAAUUGACGGGGGCCCGCACAAGCGGUGGAGCAUGUGGUUUAAUUCGAAGCUACGCGAAGAACCUUACCAGGUCUUGACAUACUAUGCAAAUCUAAGAGAUUAGACGUUCCCUUCGGGGACAUGGAUACAGGUGGUGCAUGGUCGUCGUCAGCUCGUGUCGUGAGAUGUUGGGUUAAGUCCCGCAACGAGCGCAACCCUUAUUAUCAGUUGCCAGCAUUAAGUUGGGCACUCUGGUGAGACUGCCGGUGACAAACCGGAGGAAGGUGGGGAUGACGUCAAAUCAUCGUGCCCCUUAUGACCUGGGCUACACACGUGCUACAAUGGAUGGUACAACGAGUUGCGAACUCGCGAGAGUAAGCUAAUCUCUUAAAGCCAUUCUCAGUUCGGAUUGUAGGCUGCAACUCGCCUACAUGAAGUCGGAAUCGCUAGUAAUCGCGGAUCAGCAUGCCGCGGUGAAUACGUUCCCGGGCCUUGUACACACCGCCCGUCACACCAUGAGAGUUUGUAACACCCAAAGUCGGUGGGGUAACCUUUUAGGAACCAGCCGCCUAAGGUGGGACAGAUGAUUAGGGUG
This 1489-nucleotide ribosomal RNA is filed under the name Lactiplantibacillus plantarum. RNAcentral's name for it is "bacterial SSU rRNA". It matches the Rfam family "Bacterial small subunit ribosomal RNA". Lineage: Bacteria; Bacillati; Bacillota; Bacilli; Lactobacillales; Lactobacillaceae. The record is from RNAcentral.